This 88-nucleotide microRNA precursor is filed under the name Pteropus vampyrus (large flying fox). Its description in RNAcentral is "miRNA (ENSPVAG00000026166.1)". It matches the Rfam family "mir-15 microRNA precursor family". Rfam says of the family: This family represents the related mir-15a and mir-15b sequences. Lineage: Eukaryota; Metazoa; Chordata; Mammalia; Chiroptera; Pteropodidae. The record is from RNAcentral.
GUCAGCAGUGCCUUAGCAGCACGUAAAUAUUGGCGUUAAGAUUUUUAAUUAUCUCCAGUAUUAACUGUGCUGCUGAAGUAAGGUUGAC